Molecule: non-coding RNA, 397 nt
Organism: Bifidobacterium breve
Lineage: Bacteria; Bacillati; Actinomycetota; Actinomycetes; Bifidobacteriales; Bifidobacteriaceae
Rfam family: transfer-messenger RNA
About the family: Bacterial tmRNA, also known as 10Sa RNA or SsrA, is named for its dual tRNA and mRNA-like properties.
Source: Rfam
GGGGUCGAUCGGUUUCGACGGUGACCUGUUCGCUGCAGGGAAGCGUGCCGAGAACGCCGGGUCCGCUCGUGGAUGACCCCGGCAAAAGAAUAAGUGCUAAAUCUAACCGCACUGAGUUCGCUCUCGCUGCCUGAUUUUUAGUCAGGAUUAACCAGUGAGCAGCCGCUCCGUUCACUCCUCUUCGUCUUUGGGAGGAUGCUGAGCGUCGUUAAGAAGACUUGCUGAUGGAGUUGAGCCUCAGGGCUCCAUCAGGACUUUUACUGCGGAUAUGCUCGCCAUCAGUUGUCUGCGACAGCGAUGGGGGCAGAAAAACCGCCAACUUGGCCAGCAGACUACGCACGUAGAAGACUGUGGGCUCGGUCAUCGGACCGGGGUUCGAUUCCCCGCGACUCCACGA